This 166-nucleotide unclassified non-coding RNA is filed under the name soil metagenome. RNAcentral's name for it is "partial contains 5.8S ribosomal RNA, internal transcribed spacer 2, and large subunit ribosomal RNA". The record is from RNAcentral.
AACAAGGCGUACCUGCGGACCUGCGGAAGGAUCAUUAAUAAAUGUUACUUCGGUAACUUAAUUAAUCCCUAACACCUGUGCAUCUUGUCGCUUCGGCGUCAUUUUAUAAACAUCAGUGUAAUGAAUGUAACGUAUUAUAACAAAUACAACUUUUAACAACGGAUCU